RNAcentral lists this long non-coding RNA (805 nucleotides) under Lactuca sativa (garden lettuce). RNAcentral's name for it is "long non-coding RNA (LSAT_LNC008904)". Lineage: Eukaryota; Viridiplantae; Streptophyta; Magnoliopsida; Asterales; Asteraceae. The record is from RNAcentral.
CUCUCUCAAUUAUUAGGCUGGGUUGUAGAGAUUUUUCUUCAGGAUUUUGGAGUAUUUUAGUUUAACGAAGCUUUAGGCAUUUAGUCUUGGCAAAUAGAAGUGCAUGGUAUAGGCUAAUUCGUUGCAAUGAUGCUUGUCGGUCAAAUUGUCCAGUUAACUGUUUAUCCCCUGAGAAACUGUCCAGGUGAUUUCUUCUCACUAUAUUAUAUACUUCAAUAUGUAUCCUCUGUAUGAUAGAAUAUAAUUACCGUGUAAAAAGGGGUGGACCAGAUUUAUGUUGUAGGCCAUUAUGUGUACGCAUUGUAUAUGUAUUAGUGGUAUAUUAUAUCUUGAGGGAGCUCACUAACCCUUGGCUUAGAGUUAUUGAAUAAUUGUUUUUCAGGUUCUUCUUCGGAUCGAGGAAAGGCUCCCCAUAACUGUACUUACAGCAAUGAUAAUAUUUUAAAACUUAUGCUAGAACUCUCUUUUGUAAAUAAAUGUAAUAUAAUGGUUUGUAAGACUUAUGUUUUAAUGAAAUAAAAGUGAAAAAAAUUGCCUUCAAAUUUGGGACAUUACAUGGAGGUUUUCUUGUUUACUUUUUCAUGAGGUGUAAAACCCCAUUUCACUUGUGGACUGUAAAAUGUAAAGAUGUUGGGCUUCAAGAAAAUAAACUUUAGACCUUAUUGAAGGUUGCGAAUAUUGGUUAAGAGAUCUAAGCCCUUAAUUUGUGUGAUGAAACCAAAUGGGUAAAAUGGGAAAAGUUAUAUGUCGGGCUUCUUGCAUGGAUUAUGGUUUUAGUUCGACAUUUAAUAAGCUAAAAGUAACU